This 635-nucleotide ribosomal RNA is filed under the name uncultured bacterium. Its description in RNAcentral is "bacterial SSU rRNA". The stretch from base 1 to 545 matches the Rfam family "Bacterial small subunit ribosomal RNA", at positions 338 to 873 of the family's 1533-position model. The record is from RNAcentral.
CCUACGGGAGGCAGCAGUGGGGAAUUUUGGACAAUGGGCGAAAGCCUGAUCCAGCAAUGCCGCGUGUGGGAAGAAGGCCUUCGGGUUGUAAACCACUUUUGUACGGAACGAAACGGUUCGCUUUAAUACAGUGGGCUAAUGACGGUACCGUAAGAAUAAGCACCGGCUAACUACGUGCCAGCAGCCGCGGUAAUACGUAGGGUGCGAGCGUUAAUCGGAAUUACUGGGCGUAAAGCGUGCGCAGGCGGUUAUAUAAGACAGUUGUGAAAUCCCCGGGCUCAACCUGGGAAUUGCAUCUGUGACUGUAUAGCUAGAGUACGGUAGAGGGGGAUGGAAUUCCGCGUGUAGCAGUGAAAUGCGUAGAUAUGCGGAGGAACACCGAUGGCGAAGGCAAUCCCCUGGACCUGUACUGACGCUCAUGCACGAAAGCGUGGGGAGCAAACAGGAUUAGAUACCCUGGUAGUCCACGCCCUAAACCGAUGUCAACUGGUUGUUGGGUUGNAUAGUACUCAGUAACGAAGACUACGCGUGUAGUUAGUACCGCCGUCGGGAGGUACGGCCGGCGAGGUUAGUAAACGUACGAAGAAGUAGUAGACGUCGNGAGACGCGACGACGACGACGACGGAGGGAGGAGG